RNAcentral lists this ribosomal RNA (468 nucleotides) under uncultured bacterium. Its description in RNAcentral is "partial 16S ribosomal RNA". It matches the Rfam family "Bacterial small subunit ribosomal RNA", at positions 28 to 507 of the family's 1533-position model. The record is from RNAcentral.
GACGAACGCUGGCGGCGUGCUUAACACAUGCAAGUCGAACGGAAAGGCCCUGCUUUUGUGGGGUGCUCGAGUGGCGAACGGGUGAGUAGCACGUGAGUAACCUGCCCUUGACUUUGGGAUAACUUCAGGAAACUGGGGCUAAUACCGGAUAGGAGCUCCUGCUGCAUGGUGGGGGUUGGAAAGUUUCGGCGGUUGGGGAUGGACUCGCGGCUUAUCAGCUUGUUGGUGGGGUAGUGGCUUACAAAGGCUUUGACGGGUAGCCGGCCUGAGAGGGUGACCGGCCACAUUGGGACUGAGAUACGGCCCAGACUCCUACGGGAGGCAGCAGUGGGGAAUAUUGCACAAUGGGCGGAAGCCUGAUGCAGCAACGCCGCGUGCGGGAUGACGGCCUUCGGGUUGUAAACCGCUUUCGCCUGUGACGAAGCGUGAGUGACGGUAAUGGGUAAAGAAGCACCGGCUAACUACGUG